Molecule: ribosomal RNA, 2963 nt
Filed under: Kiritimatiellia bacterium
Lineage: Bacteria; Pseudomonadati; Kiritimatiellota; Kiritimatiellia
Description: 23S ribosomal RNA
Rfam family: Bacterial large subunit ribosomal RNA
Source: RNAcentral
GGUCAAGUAUAGAAAGGGCGCAUAGUGAAUGCCUUGGCAUCCAUAGGUGAUGAAGGACGUGGCAAGCUGCGAUAAGCGCCGGGGAGCGGCAAGCACGCUUUGAUCCGGCGAUGUCCGAAUGGGGAAACCCAAUCUCGGUUAUACGAGAUUAUCCGGGGAUGAAUACAUAGUCCACGGAAGCGAAACCAGGGGAAGUGAAACAUCUCAGUACCCUGAGGAAAAGAAAGCGAAAGCGAUUCCCUCAGUAGUGGCGAGCGAAAGGGGAACAGCCUAAACCAUCGUGUUUACACGGUGGGGUUGCGGGGCCGUGAUGUGGUAGCAGAGAGGAUAGCGGAAGAGUUCUGGAAGGCUCUCCCAUAGAGGGUGAUAGGCCCGUACGCGAAAUCCAAACUGCACCUAACGGUACCCCAAGUAGAGCGGGACACGUGAAACCCUGCUUGAAUCUGGAAGGCCCACCUUCCAAGGCUAAAUACUAAUGGAUGACCGAUAGUGAACAAGUACCGCGAGGGAAAGGUGAAAAGAACCCCUGCUAGGGGAGUGAAAUAGAACCUGAAACUAUGUGCCUACAAGCUAUGGGAGCCUGUCGUAAGACGGGUGACCGUUUGCCUUUUGCAUAAUGAGUCCGCGAGUCACGGUGUGUGGCAAGGUUAAGGCCUUAUGGGCCGGAGCCGUAGCGAAAGCGAGUGCCAAAUGCGCGUUUAGUCGCAUGCCGUGGACCCGAAGCCGUGUGAGCUACCCAUGACCAGGUUGAAGCGAGGGUAACACCUCGUGGAGGACCGAACCCGUGGCCGUUGAAAAGGCUUGGGAUGAGUUGUGGGUUGGAGCGAAAGACUUAUCAAACUCGGUGAUAGCUGGUUCUCCUCGAAAUAACUUUAGGGUUAGCCUGCAGGAUUGCUCGUCGUGGAGGUAGAGCACUAAUUGGACUAGGGUCCUUACCGGGAUUCCGAAGCCAGUUAAACUCCGAAUGCCACGUCAGACACCUGCGGAGAUAGACUGUGGGGGAUAAGCCUCAUAGUCGAGAGGGAAAUAGCCCAGACCGCCAGCUAAGGCCCCCCAAUCCGGUUAAGUGCGUAAGGAUGUGAGAUCGCAAAGACAGCUAGGAUGUUGGCUUAGAGGCAGCCACCAUUUAAACAGUGCGUAACAGCUGACUAGCCAAGUGGUCUCGCGCCGAAAAUGAACGGGACUAAACCGGAUGCCGACGCUGCGGAUGCCAUUCUGAUUCGUCAGAGUGGCGUGGUAGAGGAGCGUUCUCUAUGAGCUGAAGGAGAAGGGUAACCGACUCUCGAUCGUAGAGAAGUGAUUAUGCGGACAUAAGUAACGAUAAACCAGGUGAGAAUCCUGGUCGCCGAAAUCCCAAGGAUUCCUGGGGAAGGUUCGUCCUCCCAGGGUUAGUCGGCCCCUAAGCGGAGGCCAAUUGGCGUACGCGAUGGGAAGCAGGUUCAAUAUUCCUGCACCGUUUGUUUGGCGUUAUCAGCAAUGGAGUGACGCAGCAAGCAGAGUCAGCCAUCGACUGGAAGUGAUGGUCCAAGCCCGUAGGAGGUUUUGACAGGCAAAUCCGUCAGAACACUACUCCGAAAGGUGAUGGGACGUGGAGGGUAACACCAAAGCGGAUUGACUCGGGCUCAACUGCCAAGAAAAGCUCCUAGUCAGUCAAACAAGCGACCGUACCGUAAACCGACACAGGUGGGAUGGUAGAAUAUACCAAGGCGCGCGAGAGAAACCUCGUUAAGGAACUCGGCAAUCUAGCCCCGUAUCUUAGGUAGAAGGGGUCCUCUCCGACGUCAGAGUAAUAUCAAAGCGUUGGAGAGGCGCAGUGAACGGGCUCAAGCGACUGUUUAACAAAAACACAGCACUCUGCGAACUCGAAAGAGGAAGUAUAGGGUGUGACACGUGACCAAUGCGGAAAGGUUAAGGCAAGAGGUUAGCCGCAAGGCGAAGCUUCGACCCGAAGCCCCCGUGAAUGUCGGCCGUAACUAUAACGGUCCUAAGGUAGCGAAAUUCCUUGUCGGGUAAGUUCCGACCUGCACGAAUCGUGUAACGACUUGAGCGCUGUCUCAACGAGGAUCUCGGUGAAAUUGUAGUCCAGAGGAAAGUGUCUGGUACCCGCAGUAGGACGGAAAGACCCUGUGAACCUUUACUGUAAUCUGAUAUGGGGUUCUGGUUCUUCAUAUGUAGCAUAGCUGGGAGGCUGCGAAGCUCUGGCGUCAGCCAGAGUGGAGCCAAUAGUGAAAUACCAGUUUUGGGGCAUCGGAAUUCUAACCGCAUCCGUGAUCCGGAUGCGGGACAGUGUCAGAGGGUCAGUUUGACUGGGGCGGUUUCCUCCAAAAGAGUAACGGAGGAGCGCGAAGGUCCCCUCAACACGGUCGGCAAUCGUGUGUAGAGCGUAUAGGUAUAAGGGGGCUUAACUGCGAGACUUACAAGUCGAGCAGGUGCGAAAGCAGGCCUAAAUGAUCCGGUGGUUGCACGUGGCAGCGCCAUCGCUCAACGGACAAAAGGUACUCCGGGGAUAACAGGCUGAUCGCCGCCAAGAGUCCAUAUCGACGCGGCGGUUUGGCACCUCGAUGUCGGCUCAUCACAUCCUGGGGCUGGAGAAGGUCCCAAGGGUUUGGCUGUUCGCCAAUUAAAGUGGUACGCGAGCUGGGUUCAGAACGUCGUGAGACAGUUCGGUCCUUAUCCACUGUGGGCGUUGGAGAUUUGAGAGGAGCAUUCCUUAGUACGAGAGGACCGGGAAUGACGCACCACUGGUUUUCCGGUUGUCGCGCCAGCGGCAGUGCCGGGUAGCUAUGUGCGGAACGGAUAAGCGCUGAAAGCAUCUAAGCGCCAAGCCUACCUCAAGAUAAGAUCUCCCUAUCGCGCAAGCGGUACUAAAGGCCGGUUGAAGACUACAACCUUGAUAGGCUGGGUGUGUACGCGUAGUGAUACGCUUAGCUAACCAGUACUAAUAGGCCGUGAGGCUUGACCAU